RNAcentral lists this unclassified non-coding RNA (344 nucleotides) under Ramicandelaber sp. RNAcentral's name for it is "partial internal transcribed spacer region". The stretch from base 1 to 46 matches the Rfam family "Eukaryotic small subunit ribosomal RNA", at positions 1786 to 1831 of the family's 1831-position model. Lineage: Eukaryota; Fungi; Kickxellomycota; Ramicandelaberales; Ramicandelaberaceae. The record is from RNAcentral.
AAGUCGUAACAAGGUAUCCGUAGGUGAACCUGCGGAUGGAUCAUUACCAAUUUAUUAUAUUAGUUUGUGCAUUCCUGUAAAAGGGGGUUGUCACACAACUACUAUGUAAAUGUUGAACUAGAUCAAUCAGUGUGGAUUGCUUGGGAAUGGACGAAGCGACAAGCCUCUUCCGGACAGGCAAACCCCACAUUGGUGACCCUUUUCAUAUAUACUACUACCAAUACAUACUACAAACAAACAAACAAACAAAAGCUAUAAUAGGACUUAUAAAAAGUUGAGUGGGUAAAAGCCUCAGCUAUACAAUAUAACUAUUACAACUUUCAGCAAUGGAUCUCUAGGCUCUC